Molecule: ribosomal RNA, 253 nt
Filed under: uncultured bacterium
Lineage: Bacteria
Description: partial 16S ribosomal RNA
Rfam family: Bacterial small subunit ribosomal RNA
Source: RNAcentral
UACGUAGGGGGCAAGCGUUGUCCGGAUUUAUUGGGCGUAAAGAGCGUGUAGGCGGCUAGGUAGGUCUGCUGUGAAAACUCGAGGCUUAACCUCGAGCUGUCGGCGGAAACCAUCUGGCUAGAGUCCGGAAGAGGAGAAUGGAAUUCCCGGUGUAGCGGUGAAAUGCGCAGAUAUCGGGAAGAACACCCGUGGCGAAAGCGACUUCCUGGACCAAUACUGACGCUCAUGUGCGAAAGCGUGGGGAGCAAACAGG